GACGAACGCUGGCGGCGCGCUUAACACAUGCAAGUCGAACGGAAAGGCCUGCUUUCCCUUGUGGAUUGCGGGUACUCGAGUGGCGAACGGGUGAGUAACACGUGAGUGAUCUGCCCCCAACUUGGGUAUAAGCCUGGGAAACUGGGUCUAAUUCCCGAUAGGACUGCAGGGUGGUGCCUGUGGUGGAAAACGAUUUUCUAGUGGUUGGGGAUGAGCUCGCGGCCUAUCAGCUUGUUGGUGGGGUAAUGGCCUACCAAGGCGGCGACGGGUAGCCGGCCUGGGAGGGUGGACGGCCACAUUGGGACUGGGAUACGGCCCAGACUCCUACGGGAGGCAGCAGUGGGGAAUAUUGCGCAAUGGGCGGAAGCCUGAUGCAGCGACGCCGCGUGGGGGAUGACGGCCUUCGGGUUGUAAACUCCUUUCGACCGCGAGGAAGCCACCUGGUUGGAAGGGUGGUGACGGUAGUGGUAGAAGAAGCACCGGCUAACUACGUG
This 494-nucleotide ribosomal RNA is filed under the name uncultured bacterium. Its description in RNAcentral is "partial 16S ribosomal RNA". It matches the Rfam family "Bacterial small subunit ribosomal RNA", at positions 28 to 507 of the family's 1533-position model. The record is from RNAcentral.